Stegostoma tigrinum is the source of this 3223-nucleotide RNA transcript. It is a transcript of the gene named zinc finger protein 341, with no coding region annotated. The transcript has 16 exons. Lineage: Eukaryota; Metazoa; Chordata; Chondrichthyes; Orectolobiformes; Stegostomatidae. The record is from RefSeq and is a predicted model, not a curated record.
GAAGGAUUUCAGCCUCUUCCAUUUCCCAUCGUCCCAGCCUCAAACACAACAGAGAAGCUCCAAGAUGGCGCAAGCAAUUUUCGAGGCGUUGGCAGGAAUGGACAAUCAGACGGUGCUGGCCGUUCAGUCUCUGUUGGAGAGUCAGGGACCAGUUACUGACCCAUCACCCCACUCCGUAACCACCAGCAGCAUCCAGCCAGCCCUGGAUGAUGACGAUGUCUUUCUGUGUGGGAAGUGUAAGAAACAGUUUAACUCUCUGCAGUCCUUUAUCGCUCACAAGCGCGAACAGUGUCAGGGCAGCCUGCCCUCAUUGGCCUCUGUAUCACUGGCUCCCAGCAACACCUUCACCUCCGUCCCCCCAAUGACCAGCGUGCCGCCUCCACAGCCCAUCAGCCGACAGCAAGUGUCAACUUACAUCACGGUGCCCCACUCCCCGCUGACCCAGGCUCUGGUCCAGGGGAACAUCAUAGUCAGUGACGAUGUGCUCAUGUCUGCCAUGUCGGCCUUCAGCUCCCUCGAUCACAGCCUGGCACCGAUCCAGCCGCCCAUACAGAGCAGUCACAACAUGCAUCCGGGAGCUUCAUACAUACCCCAACCCCCUCCCCCUCCCCCUCCCCCUCCCCCACCUCCCCCUCCUCCUACAAUGACCCCCCAGAUCCAGCCCAGUCCCAGCGGAAAUGCUGUGGUGCAAGUGUACAGCACACUGACUCCGAUGAACGGGAACACCUCGGAGGGGCAGAGCCUGGCCAUGCAGAACUUCCCACAUGUCCAGGUUCCCAGCCAGUGUGUGGAGAGUUCCCCGUUCACCACUCCCCCUGUGUACAGUCCUGGAAAGCAAGGCCUCAAAACUAGAACGACCAACAUCACCCUUCGCCCUGCAGCUGAUGAACUCUCGAACUUCGACUCCAACAGCACAAAGAACAGGCAGCCCAAAGAUACCUUGGGCGCCCAGGAAGGGAAAGGAAAAUCACAAAAGCUGAAAUGUAACUAUUGCCACAAGAUGUUUGCCAAGAACUUCGACCUCCAGCAGCACAUCAGAAGCCACACGGGGGAGAAACCCUUCCAGUGCAUUGUCUGCGGCCGGGCCUUCGCUCAGAAAUCCAAUGUCAAGAAGCACAUGCAGACCCACAAGGUGUGGCCAUCUGGGGUGUCCUCUGUCUCCAUGCAGGUGCUCACUGUCAGCUCGGAAGAAAUGGGCGAGCGUGAGGAGAACGAGGCCGCAGCAGAAUUAUCGGAGAACCCUGAGCAGCAGGCACUGGUGAACUCUGCCAGUCACUCGGGUGAGGCCGGUGCCAGUGCCGGUGCCGAGGUGAAGCAGAUGGUGGUGAUUGACAGCUCCUACCAGUGCCAGUUCUGUCCUGGGAAAUUCGUCAGUUACUUCCAGUUGAAGUCCCACAUGAUCCAGCACAAGAACCAACAGGUGUACAAGUGUGUGGUGAAGAAUUGCAUUCAGACCUUUGUGAAGCUCGAUGAGUUUGUCGAACACAUCAAGAAUCACGACGAUGAAAUAACAUACCGGUGUCAUCUCUGCAGUAAGAUCUUCCCAUCACUGUAUGAGCUGGGGGUACACCAGUAUUCUCACAACCUUUACCCCCAGCAGACUCCCAAGAAAUGCCCCACAUUUUACAGGUGUUCGAGGUGUUUGAGUAAAUACUCCACUCCUGAAGCCCUUGAACAUCACCUCCAGACAACCUCUCACAAUUACCCAUGUCCACAUUGUCAGAAGGUCUUUCCAAGUGAGAGGUACCUGCGGAGGCACAUCCCGGUGCACGGUGGUGGAGGAGUGUUCAAAUGUCAAAUAUGUAAAAAGUCCUUCAAAACCGAGCACUAUCUCAAGCUACACCACCUCAUUCACUCUGGUGAGAAACCGUUUAAGUGCACAUUAUGUUCAGCAGCAUUUAAUCGCAAGGAUAAAGUAAAGAGGCACAUGCUAACCCAUGACCCUGUCAAGAAAUUCAAGUGCCCUUUCAGGGUACACUCUGGUUGUACAAAAGAAUUCAACAGACCUGACAAGCUGAAGGCUCAUAUAAUCGCACACUCAGAAUCCCUACAGUGUGGAAACACGCCCUUUGGCCCAACGAGUCCACACCAACCUCCCCAUAGAAUCCCAUCCUGACCCCUCCCUCUCCCCCAAUUAGCCAUCUAAUCCACUCAUCCCUGAACGCCACGGGCAAUUUAGCAUGGCCAAUCCACCUAGCCUGCACAUCUUUGGACUGUGGGAGGAAACCGGAGCACCCGGAGGAAACCCACGCAGACACAGGGAGGAUGUACAAACUCCACACAGACAGUCACCUGAGGGUGGAAUCGAACCCAGGAUCAUGGCGUUUUGAGGCUGCAGUGCUAACCACUGAGCCACCGUGCCACCCCUCUGACUCCUCCCUCCCACAAUUCAAGGAAUUCAGUGACAUGGAGAAAAAUGACCAUGUGACCCUGAUCCUGCCAUCCCAUGACUCUGGUCAGAGCUUCUUGAGAAUCAACAGGGGUCACCAAUAAUGGAUUUCAGUAUUUUCAUCUCCAGCCCAUAACUCCCGCAGUCCUGGUCUCCUUCGUUUUACUGUAAUUUUGCUGCUGGUUCUUGCUAUGGGGCCAUGGUCACAGUGUUUUCUCCCCCAUCCCUGCCCUGACUGUCUCAGUAAAUAAAGCGGGGAUUCUAAUCCCACUGCAGUCGGAAUAUAGGUGAGGGAAAAUUGGCUAAGGCUCUAGCGGGAGAUAACUGACCAUUAACUCUGCAUGUCGUCAGAAAUCGUGCAACACCAGGUUACAGUCUGACAGAUUUAUUUGAAAACACAAGCUUUCACAGCACAGCUCCUUCUACACCUGAAGGAGUACUGAGGCUCUGAAAGCUUGUGAUUUCAAAUAAACCUGUCAGACUAUAACCUGGUGUCGUGUGAUUCCUGACCUUGUCCACCCCAGUCCCACACUGGUGCCUCCACGUGACAGCUCUGGAUAUGACUGUGAUACUCUCCUUGUCAACAGACUGGGUUUUUCUCAGUUCUUUCAUGGGAUGUGGGGUGUCACUGGCAAUGCUGUCCCUGAUUGCCCUGUGCCAUGCUGGGCCAUCUCAGAGUGCGGUUAUGAGUCUCUGUGGCCUGGAGUCCAGUGUUGGCCAGACCAGGAGUCAAGCCAUACAAGUGUCAGUUUUGCAGCAAGAGCUUUAGCCGACGAGCCCACAUGGUGGAGCACCAGCACUCGCACACAGACACCUACACCAUCCGCUGUGCCC